Long non-coding RNA from Mizuhopecten yessoensis (Yesso scallop), 1176 nucleotides. RefSeq lists it as uncharacterized. NCBI's taxonomy places the organism in Eukaryota, Metazoa, Mollusca, Bivalvia, Pectinida, Pectinidae. The transcript is spliced from 4 exons. The record is from RefSeq and is a predicted model, not a curated record.
UGCAAUAUAUUUAAUUGCACACGUGCUUUCCUGCUUUGUUUGGAUCUGCAAUAUUGGUGGGCCCCAUCGCUCUCUGUGCAUAUUUGGGCGCAAUGUACGGCUGGUGUUAUUUAUGAGUUGUGCGAAUACACAACCGUGGUUACACUUUUGUAAUCGUAUAUUGUGUAGGCAUAGGUUUCAUCGAAACAUAAAUUUACGUAAUGGAUUGUGAUCUCAAUUUAUAAUGAGUUGUACACUUUAUUAUUUUGUAAAUGAUGACUGACUUUUUAAGUAAUUAAAAUAUUUGGUAAAGUGAAACUUUUCUGGUCUCUACAUGUUAAACAGUAUUUACUUGAUCACAUUUUACUAUAAUCUGUGUAUCUUAUCUUUGCAGGGUUUGAUCAUAAUGAUUAUUGAAAAUGUACAUCAAGAUAGAGAAGAAUGUAUACUCAAACGUUUGUUACAAACACCCAUUGGAGGAGAACUUCUUUUAAAAGAAACGCUAUUUACCGUCACUUAUGAUUCAUUUUAUAUAUAUGUAGUAUUCUUCUGUAAAUUAUCGAUGUCUUAGUUUAUUUAUAUCAUUACCCUACUUCAUAUCUUUAUCUUCACCUUUAAACAUAUCACUUUAUCAAUAUACAACUCCGUAAUUGAUGUUCAUAUGAUAUUGAUGUAAUUAUAUAAUCAAAAAAUAAGCUUAUAUAUACCAUCAGCUUUGUAAGGAAGAACAGUAUAUUUGUAUGCGUAAACAUUUGUUUGUUUGCUUCGUCAUGCACCCCUAGAAGCUGGAAGGUCGAGACUAGCGUGUGACCUUACCUGCCAAUUGAGCGGAAAAUGCGAACAAACAGAUGGCCAUCUUAAAGACUGAUUGUGCAUGGAUCUGAUGUGCGGGAGAGCGGGUUUAAAGCAACGCCAAGUCAGCACGUGAGGUGUAAACACUAUGCUGAAACUGUAUGACAUAUGCGAUACUUGAACGCAAACUAGAGCUUGCGUUAUUGACAUGCCAGUCUGCACUAAAGGCUUGAUACCAUAUGUGGAUACCAAGGUAUUUCUUGGGGAAGAUGACAUUAGCUACACAAAUGGUAUUUACCAACUUUUCUACAAAGAAAGUAGCUCCUCAGAUAUUGGGACUCUGUACCAGUUUCGUAAUGUUAUCAACAGAAGAGAUGUUUCAGGGCCUGAUGAGGUCAUCAAUAA